CCUACGGGUGGCAGCAGUGAGGAAUAUUGGUCAAUGGACGCAAGUCUGAACCAGCCAAGUAGCGUGAAGGAUGACUGCCCUAUGGGUUGUAAACUUCUUUUAUACGGGGAUAAAACGAGACACGUGUAUCUGUUUGAAUGUAUCGUACGAAUAAGGAUCGGCUAACUCCGUGCCAGCAGCCGCGGUAAUACGGAGGAUCCAAGCGUUAUCCGGAUUUAUUGGGUUUAAAGGGAGCGUAGGCGGUCUGUUAAGUUAGUUGUGAAAUUUUGAGGCUCAACCUUGAAAUUGCCAUUGAUACUGGCAGUCUAGAGUGUAGUUGAGGUAGGCGGAAUGUGUGGUGUAGCGGUGAAAUGCUUAGAUAUCACGAAGAACACCGAUUGCGAAGGCAGCUUACCAAGCUGCUACUGACAUUGAGGCACGAAAGUGUGGGUAUCAAACAGGAUUAGAUACCCGAGUAGUC
This 460-nucleotide ribosomal RNA is filed under the name uncultured bacterium. Its description in RNAcentral is "partial 16S ribosomal RNA". It matches the Rfam family "Bacterial small subunit ribosomal RNA", at positions 338 to 795 of the family's 1533-position model. The record is from RNAcentral.